RNAcentral lists this long non-coding RNA (2887 nucleotides) under Equus asinus (donkey). RNAcentral describes it as "lncRNA (ENSEASG00005038729.1)". The record is from RNAcentral. Lineage: Eukaryota; Metazoa; Chordata; Mammalia; Perissodactyla; Equidae.
GGUGCAUCCACCAUAUUACCAAGUCUUCUCGGCUUACUGCUGCCUGCCCUUGGCAUCUUUCUCUACUUGGAAUUCUGAAUGUGGUGUGACAGCUGCUGUUUCCAUCCCAGCUCAGAGGACACCCUUCAUCCCUGUGAUGACUACAGUUUCUUCCAACUCCUGCGGCUCCGUCCUAAGCCAAAUAAAUUAUCCUUUAACAAACUAUCCAACUGAUUUACAACACACAUUAUGACUGAGGCAUUCAGGAACCCCUUCAUCCAAAAGAAUAAACUUUUAAAUGGAUUUAAAAUGAUUUUUAACUCGUUCCAAUAUGCCUUAUAAACCACUUAACCUGAUUCUGUGACAGUUGCAUGAUUUAAUCCAAUGGGACAAGUUACAGUGUCAAUUCAAUACUAUAGGCUGUAGAGUGAAAGUAAAAUCACCAUACACAGGUGCUUUAAAUUUAAUAACAAGUUGUGAAAUAAAUAGAGGUUGAAAUGUUGAUUGUAUGUGGUAAAUGUAAGAGUAAUACAGUCUCUUGUAUUAUCCUCUCUGUCUUGGGUCCUGCAUAUUUUCAAACGGCCCCUAUCAUUCAAGACAUUUUGAGUUUUCUUGAAAAAGACAUAGAAUAUAACUGAAACAUUUUGACAUCAAUUCCAUUACCAAAUCAUUUGACUGAAUGAGUUGAAAGAUUUUAAAUAUUGAAAACCAAAUUCUAGAACAUAUUAUCAGUAUUCUCAUUUUGGAAGUGUGUAAUUUUCUAAAUGUUUGAUUUUCAGGAUCAGUAAUAAUUUUAAGUUAGUUUUUUAAUAGUGAAAUUAACAUACCACAUGAAGAUUUUUUUUACUUUUGUAUUCUACUCUGAAGUUAUUUUAUGCUUUUAUUAUCGGUUUCAAACCUCAAAAAUCAUAGCUGUUAUCUAGAGUAUCAUCAUAUUGCUGUAUUUAUUCAUACGUGAAAUGUUGAAUUUUGAAAAGUAGAGUGCUUCCAAUUUUAAACUGAGAUGUGGCAGUCUUUACACAGCUAGGAAUAAUGACAGUUAAGUGAAUGUCAGAAUUAUCUAAUAAUAUUCUAGAAUCUUUGUUUUUGUGCUUCAUUUCUUUAUUGAAGGUAUGGGAUCAAGAAAUCACCUGUAGGUUGGAAAAAUACAGUAUUCCUUAUUUUUUUUAAACAGUUUUAAACUCAUUUCCCGCCUCAAUGCAAUACCGUAACUGGCUAAAAAUACCAAAUCAAUAUGUUGCUAAUGGUACUUUGAAGAGUAUGCAAAACUGGAAGGCCAGGAGGAGACAAAUAAUGGGUCUGUCCAAUGGUGUCUCCCAAGGGUUGGUGCUUUAGGUUUUUGUAAGUUGUGAAAAGGAAGAUGCACAUUUCUUCAUUCUCCAUGGUGUGCACGGAAAUGUGUUUGAGUGUGGAUGUGACAGAAAUCGAGUAAUAAAGGAUUAGCUGGCUCAUGAAAUAGUGCAAUGUCUGAUGCUUCAAGAGGUAUAAUCCUAUUUUAUUAGCACAACUUUGCUAGCUAAUUAGAGAUAGAGUUUAUCUUUUUAGAAAGGAUACCUUAUAGGUUCGUAAAAAAAAUAUUUACAGGAAGCAAAAUAGAUCUAUUACUACUUUACCCCCUUUUCUUUAAUUUGUAUAAUUUUUGUACUAUAUAUCUAUGUGUAAAUGUUUAGAGCUUUCAUUAUGAAAAUAUCAAUAAAUAUUUCAUUAGUUUACAUUUAACUCUUUGUUAUAAAAUGAAACUUUUUAAAAACAAGUGAAAUGGAUGAUUUCCCAGUGGAAGUAUGUCAACAGUCUUGAGAUCAUUACCAGAUUUCAUAAAAUAUUUAAUUAUUUGGAAAAGAAACAAAAUCUCUUCAUACUUUAGGAAAAAAAUACUCUGUGAGCUUUCUGUACAAAUGUUUGUGUUUUCAUUGUUACACUUUGGGGUUUUCCUUUUGCAAUGUGACCCAUGUUGGGCAUUUUUAUAUAAUCGACAACAACUAAAUCUUUUGCCAAAUGCAUGCUUGCCUUUUAUUUUCUAAUGUAUGGUAAUAAAGAGCAAAACUGGUUAGAUUUUGCAUGAAAUGGUUCAGAAAGGUAAGAGGAAAACAGACUUUGGAGAUUGUUUAAUUUCAAAUUUUUGACAGAGAUAAGGUAGAUUAAAAUCUCUCAUACACUGAUAACUGAAGCUUUUCAUUUCCUCAUACAAUUGUACAAAUUUGACUGGGACCAUCAGUUUUAAACUGUUGUCAAACUAACUAAUGUAUCAUCUGCUUUAAGACGCAAGAUUCUUAAUUAAACUUUAUAUAGAUAUAGAGACAUCUGUUGUUUCUUUGUAUUUCAGGAAAGGUGAUAGUAGUUUUAUUUGAUACUGAUAAAUAUUGAAUUGAUUUUUUUAGUUAUUUUUUAUCAUUUUUUCAAUGGAGUAGUAUAGGACUGUGCUUUGUCCUUUUUAUGAAUGAAAACAAAUUAUAAAGAAAUAAAUGUCUUACUGUUACCCAAGAAAUAACAACUGUCCUUUCAAUUUACCUAAAGUUGAGAAUUCAUUUUUAGAAGGUUUUCAUUAUAAGUUCAAUAGCAUGGAAUAAAUGUUACUUGUUAAGCAAGAGUUCACUGUUUGAAGGUUCUAUAAAAAGUAUACACACAUACGUUAAGACACACACACUCGAGCUUGUAUGUGCACGUACAACACAUUGUUAUUACAUUAAAAUAGUACCACCUAAUAGGUAAUUUCGGUUUAUGGAGACGUCAGUUUAUAUCACUCAAUCUAAUGCUAAACACUGAAGCAAGCUUCUAGAUGCUGAAAAAACAGAGUAGUUUAACCCUAAAUGAGCUGACACUCUAAAAGAAGAAUUUGCAUAAAAGCAUGACUCUACAGACAGGAGGCUGGUACAGGUAAAGCCUUCUCUGAGUCCUGAGCCAGACUGAG